Molecule: ribosomal RNA, 417 nt
Filed under: uncultured archaeon
Lineage: Archaea
Description: bacterial SSU rRNA
Rfam family: Archaeal small subunit ribosomal RNA
Source: RNAcentral
GUGCAGCAGGCGCGAAAACUUUACAAUGCGGGAAACCGUGAUAAGGGGACACCGAGUGCUAGCAUCAUAUGCUGGCUGUCCAGGUGUGUAAAAUACACCUGUUAGCAAGGGCCGGGCAAGACCGGUGCCAGCCGCCGCGGUAACACCGGCGGCCCGAGUGGUGAUCGUGAUUAUUGGGUCUAAAGGGUCCGUAGCCGGUUUGGUCAGUCCUCCGGGAAAUCUGAUAGCUCAACUAUUAGGCUUUCGGGGGAUACUGCCAGACUUGGAACCGGGAGAGGUAAGAGGUACUACAGGGGUAGGAGUGAAAUCUUGUAAUCCCUGUGGGACCACCUGUGGCGAAGGCGUCUUACCAGAACGGGUUCGACGGUGAGGGACGAAAGCUGGGGGCACGAACCGGAUUAGAUACCCGGGUAGUCC